This 525-nucleotide ribosomal RNA is filed under the name uncultured bacterium. RNAcentral describes it as "bacterial SSU rRNA". It matches the Rfam family "Bacterial small subunit ribosomal RNA", at positions 777 to 1300 of the family's 1533-position model. The record is from RNAcentral.
AAUAGAUACCCAGGUAGUCCACGCCGUAAACGAUGAGUGCUAAGUGUUAGAGGGUUUCCGCCCUUUAGUGCUGCAGCUAACGCAUUAAGCACUCCGCCUGGGGAGUACGGUCGCAAGACUGAAACUCAAAGGAAUUGACGGGGGCCCGCACAAGCGGUGGAGCAUGUGGUUUAAUUCGAAGCAACGCGAAGAACCUUACCAGGUCUUGACAUCCUCUGACAACUCUAGAGAUAGAGCGUUCCCCUUCGGGGGACAGAGUGACAGGUGGUGCAUGGUUGUCGUCAGCUCGUGUCGUGAGAUGUUGGGUUAAGUCCCGCAACGAGCGCAACCCUUGAUCUUAGUUGCCAGCAUUCAGUUGGGCACUCUAAGGUGACUGCCGGUGACAAACCGGAGGAAGGUGGGGAUGACGUCAAAUCAUCAUGCCCCUUAUGACCUGGGCUACACACGUGCUACAAUGGAUGGUACAAAGGGCUGCAAGACCGCGAGGUCAAGCCAAUCCCAUAAAACCAUUCUCAGUUCGGAUUG